UUUAUUUGAUGGUACCUACUUACUCGGAUACCCGUAGUAAUUCUAGAGCUAAUACGUGCGUACAUCCCGACUUCUGGAAGGGACGUAUUUAUUAGAUAAAAGGCCGACCGGGCUUGCCCGACUCGCGGUGACUCAUGAUAACUUCACGAAUCGCAUGGCCUCGCGCCGGCGAUGUUUCAUUCAAAUUUCUGCCCUAUCAACUUUUGAUGGUAGGAUAGAGGCCUACCAUGGUGGUAACGGGUGACGGAGAAUUAGGGUUCGAUUCCGGAGAGGGAGCCUGAGAAACGGCUACCACAUCCAAGGAAGGCAGCAGGCGCGCAAAUCACCCAAUCCUGACACAGGGAGGUAGUGGCAAUAAAUAACAAUACCGGGCCUUUGGUCUGGUAAUUGGAAUGAGUACAACCUAAACACCUUAACGAGGAUCAAUUGGAGGGCAAGUCUGGUGCCAGCAGCCGCGGUAAUUCCAGCUCCAAUAGCGUAUAUUUAAGUUGCUGCAGUUAAAAAGCUCGUAGUUGGAUUUCGGGUGGGGCCUGCCUGUCCGCCGUUUCGGUGUGCACUGGCCGGGCCCACCUUGUUGCCGGGGACGAGCUCCUGGGCUUUAUUGUCCGGGACUCGGAGUCGGCGAGGUUACUUUGAGUAAAUUA
RNAcentral lists this ribosomal RNA (644 nucleotides) under uncultured eukaryote. Its description in RNAcentral is "SSU rRNA". It matches the Rfam family "Eukaryotic small subunit ribosomal RNA", at positions 116 to 768 of the family's 1831-position model. The record is from RNAcentral.